RNAcentral lists this ribosomal RNA (297 nucleotides) under Candidatus Omnitrophota bacterium. Its description in RNAcentral is "partial 23S ribosomal RNA". It matches the Rfam family "Bacterial large subunit ribosomal RNA", at positions 2631 to 2925 of the family's 2925-position model. Lineage: Bacteria; Pseudomonadati; Candidatus Omnitrophota. The record is from RNAcentral.
UCGGUCUCUAUCUGGUGUGGGCGCAUGAUAAUUGAAGGGGAGCUCUUCUUAGUACGAGAGGACCGGAAGAGACGAACCUCUAGUGUUCCAGUUAUCCUGCCAAGGGUAAUGGCUGGGUAGCUACGUUCGGAAGGGAUAAGCGCUGAAAGCAUCUAAGUGCGAAGCCCCCCUCAAGAUUAGUUAUCGAUCCCCUUCGGGGGUGAAGGCACCUUGUAGACUACGAGGUUGAUAGGCUGCGUGUGUAAGGGUUGUAAAGCCUUUAGCUAAGCAGUACUAAUCUGCCAAAUAUUUAAUCAC